Molecule: ribosomal RNA, 438 nt
Filed under: uncultured bacterium
Lineage: Bacteria
Description: bacterial SSU rRNA
Rfam family: Bacterial small subunit ribosomal RNA
Source: RNAcentral
ACUCCUACGGGAGGCAGCAGUGGGGAAUAUUGGACAAUGGGCGAAAGCCUGAUCCAGCCAUGCCGCGUGUGUGAAGAAGGUCUUCGGAUUGUAAAGCACUUUAAGUUGGGAGGAAGGGCAGUUACCUAAUACGUGAUUGUUUUGACGUUACCGACAGAAUAAGCACCGGCUAACUCUGUGCCAGCAGCCGCGGUAAUACAGAGGGUGCAAGCGUUAAUCGGAAUUACUGGGGCGUAAAGCGCGCGUAGGUGGUUUGUUAAGUUGGAUGUGAAAUCCCCGGGGCUCAACCUGGGAACUGCAUUCAAAACUGACUGACUAGAGUAUGGUAGAGGGUGGUGGAAUUUCCUGUGUAGCGGUGAAAUGCGUAGAUAUAGGAAGGAACACCAGUGGCGAAGGCGACCACCUGGACUGAUACUGACACUGAGGUGCGAAAGGCGU